CAUCAAAUGUUCAGUUGCUUUUUUUCUACUACAGUAGGUAGAGAGAGUAGGCUAUGUGGACAGAUAGACUAACAAAUAUAUGUAAACAUGCUCACAUACAUCCCUAGAGGCAUACAAGAACACAGACCUACACACACCUCGGGCCUCCUGCCACGCUGAGGUAAGGUCUUCUGGUCGUUGCUCCAGUAUAAAAGCAGACAAACACACACACUCUGCCACUUCUCCUUUGAGCUGGGCGGUAGGAAAGAGUUGAGUUUUCUAAGCAGUGAAGUCAGUGUUCAGCUGCAGUUUGGUCAUGUCUGGAGUGUGGACUGUGCUGCUGCUCUUGGGAUGUGUCUUUCUCCCGCCUCUGUCGCAUGGAGCUCUGGUUAUCUCACAGGAUGCCUCCACACCACAGGGCUCUGAUGGUGCUACACGGCUACUAAAGAAAAGAAGUACAGAUAAUGCGGAGGUGGAGGUGUACAGUGUAAAGGUGGACUGUAAGGUUGCUUCUCGUUUUGCUCACACGGUCAUAACCUCCAGUGCUCUGAACAAGGCCAACUCCUCUCAGGAAAUGUUCUUCGAGGUGGAUCUGCCCAAAACCGCCUUCAUCACCAACUUCAGCAUGGAGAUAGAGGGUCAGACCUACACGGGCGAGGUGAAGGAGAAGGAGAAAGCCAAGAAGCAGUAUCAGAAAGCUGUUUCCACAGGGCAGACUGCAGGACUGGUCAAGGCAUCAGGGAGGAAGAUGGAGAAGUUCACUGUGUCUGUGAACAUCGCGGCCAAUAGUAACGUCACCUUCAUUUUGACCCAUGAGGAGUUGCUUCAGCGUAAACUGGGCCAAUACGAGAUCAUGACCCGAGUCAAACCCAAGCAGCUGGUCCAGUACUUUGAGAUUGUGGCAGAUAUCUAUGAACCCCAGGGCAUUGCUUUCCUGGAGGCCUAUGGAACCUUCAUCUCCAACGAGCUUCUCCCCCUGGUGGAGAAAACAGUCACCGACAAAAAGGCACACAUCUCAUUCUGCCCAACACUGGACCAGCAGAGGAAGUGCCCGGGUUGUGAAGGCACCCUGAUUGACGGGGAUUUCUUCAUCAAAUAUGACGUGAACCGAGCUGAGACCAUCGGUGACAUCCAGAUAGUGAAUGGGUACUUUGUGCACUUCUUUGCGCCUCCGCACUUACUCCGAGUUCCAAAAAAUGUGGUGUUUGUGAUCGAUAGGAGUGGGUCAAUGAGCGGAAUCAAAAUGAAGCAGACAAAGGAAGCUAUGCUGACCAUCCUGAAUGACCUGGCUGAGGACGACUACUUCGGCAUUGUCCUAUUUGACUCUAGCAUCUCAACAUGGAAGGAAUCUCUUACCAAGGCCACCAAGGAAAAUGUGUCUGAAGCCCAAAAAUUUAUCCAAAGAAUAACUGAUUUGGGAUCCACUAAUAUAAAUGAUGCUGUGAUGAAAGCUGUGGACAUGAUAAUGAAAGGCAUACGAGACAAGAAGGUCCCGGAGAGGAUUGUGUCUAUGGUUAUCUUAAUGACAGAUGGAAUGCCCAACUCAGGAGAGUCUUCUGUACCACAGAUUCAGGAGAAUGUCCUUCUUGCUAUGGGUGGGAACAUGUCUCUGUUCUGUCUGGGCUUUGGGGAUGACGUGGACUACUCCUUUCUGGAUGUGAUGUCUAGACAGAACCAGGGACUGGCCCGGAGGAUCUACGAGGGCUCUGAUGCCACCGUCCAGCUUCAGGGUUUCUAUGAGGAAGUAGCCAGCCCCCUCCUCUCCGAGGUGGACCUACGUUACCCUGACAACCUGGUGAACUCUCUGACCACCAGUCACUACAAGCAGCUGUUCAACGGCUCAGAGAUUGUGGUAGCUGGCCGGCUCACUGACUAUAGCCUGGAUAACUUCCUGGUGGAGGUGUUUGCACAGGGGUUUGAGGAGGACUUUAUUGUCAAAGGCCAGGCCAGUGCCCAGGAGUGGGACAUACUGUACCCUGAGCAGGAGUAUAUAUUUGGGGACUUCACUGAGCGUCUUUGGGCCUACCUCACCAUCCAAGAACUGUUAAGCAAGAGAGAGACUGGUACUGCGGAGGAGAAGGGGAAUGCCACUGCCCAGGCUCUGGAGAUGUCCCUGCAGUACAGCUUCGUCACCCCCCUUACCUCCAUGGUGGUCACCAAGCCUGAGACUGACGAGGGGCCAGAGGGCCCCCUCAUCGCCGACAAGCUGACCGAAGAUGAAAGGCAGAAAGCCCAGAGAUUUGGUAAUUAUGCAGGCCUGCUGAUGGGCAACGCCUGGACGCACAGCAGGAUCUCACCUACAAACUUUGUGGAUGGAGACCCUCAUUUCAUGAUUGAGUUGCCAGAGCAGGAGGAUGCUCUCUGCUUCAACAUAGACGACAAGCCUGGUACCAUCUUCAACCUAGUGAGAGACCAGCUGGCAGGUAUUUUGGUCAAUGGCCAGACCAUUGGGGAUAAGAAAGUGGCCCCUGAUGGCAAAGUGAACACCUACUUCGGUCGCUUUGGCAUCGUUCACCAGGGGCUGGGGGUGAGACUGGAGGUGACCACACAUGACAUCACUGUGUCCCAGGAUGGCAAGCAGGCCAAGCUCUUCUGGUCAGACACCACCUCUCUUAAGGGAGCUAAUAUGGACCUGCAGGUGACCAAAGACAGCAUCUUGACCGUCACCCUCAGGGACUCGGUCCGGUUUGUGGUCAUCCUACACAAGAUGUGGAAGCAGCACCCAUACCACCAGGACUAUCUGGGCUUCUAUACCCUGGACAGCCAUCUCCUCUCCCCCAGUGUCCACGGCCUUCUAGGUAGGACAGCCACCUCCUCUCCCCCAGCGUCCACGGCCUUCUAGGUAGGAGAGCCACCUCCUCUCCACCAUCGUCCACGUCCUUCUAGGUAGGACAGCCACCUCCUCUACCUCAUCGUCCACGGCCUGCUAGGUAGGACAGCCACCUCCUCUACCUCAUCGUCCAUGGCCUUCUAGGUAGGACAGCCACCUCCUCUACCUCAUCGUCCAUGGCCUUCUAGGUAGGACAGCCACCUCCUCUCCCUCAUCGUCCACGGCCUGCUAGGUAGGACAGCCACCUCCUCUACCUCAUCGUCCAUGGCCUUCUAGGUAGGACAGCCACCUCCUCUACCUCAUCGUCCAUGGCCUUCUAGGUAGGACAGCCACCUCCUCUACCUCAUCGUCCACGGCCUUCUAGGUACGACAGCCACCUCCUCUACCUCAUCGUCCAUGGCCUUCUAGAUAGGACAGCCACCUCCUCUCCCUCAUCGUCCACGGCCUUCUAGGUCAGUUUUACCAUGGCGUGCAGUUUGAGGUGAAAGACAUGCGUCCAGGAGAGGUGCCAGAGAAACCAGAUGCCACCAUGCUAGUGAAGG
This is an RNA transcript of Salvelinus fontinalis (brook trout), 3351 nucleotides long. It is a transcript of the gene named inter-alpha-trypsin inhibitor heavy chain H3-like, with no coding region annotated. The transcript has 21 exons. The record is from RefSeq and is a predicted model, not a curated record. Lineage: Eukaryota; Metazoa; Chordata; Actinopteri; Salmoniformes; Salmonidae.